CAAUCGGCCCUUUUCAGGGCCACCAAAUUUUUUAACGUUGGAAUAU
Nasonia vitripennis (jewel wasp) is the source of this 46-nucleotide non-coding RNA. NCBI's taxonomy places the organism in Eukaryota, Metazoa, Arthropoda, Insecta, Hymenoptera, Pteromalidae. The record is from Rfam.